AGAUUGAACGCUGGCGGCAGGCCUAACACAUGCAAGUCGAGCGGUAGAGAGGUGCUUGCACCUCUUGAGAGCGGCGGACGGGUGAGUAAAGCCUAGGAAUCUGCCUGGUAGUGGGGGAUAACGCUCGGAAACGGACGCUAAUACCGCACACGUCCUACGGGAGAAAGCAGGGGACCUUCGGGCCUUGCGCUAUCAGAUGAGCCUAGGUCGGAUUAGCUAGUUGGUGAGGUAAUGGCUCACCAAGGCGACGAUCCGUAACUGGUCUGAGAGGAUGAUCAGUCACACUAGGAACUGACGACACGGUCCAGACUACCGUACGGGAGCAGCGAGGUAGGGGAAUAGUUGGACAAGUGGGACGAAAGCUGAUCCA
Molecule: ribosomal RNA, 370 nt
Filed under: uncultured soil bacterium
Lineage: Bacteria
Description: bacterial SSU rRNA
Rfam family: Bacterial small subunit ribosomal RNA
Source: RNAcentral